Unclassified non-coding RNA from Otolemur garnettii (small-eared galago), 102 nucleotides. Its record names the gene Vault. It matches the Rfam family "Vault RNA". Rfam says of the family: This family of RNAs are found as part of the enigmatic vault ribonucleoprotein complex. The complex consists of a major vault protein (MVP), two minor vault proteins (VPARP and TEP1), and several small untranslated RNA molecules. The record is from Ensembl. NCBI's taxonomy places the organism in Eukaryota, Metazoa, Chordata, Mammalia, Primates, Galagidae.
GGGUUGGCAUUAGCUCAAGCGGUUAAUUCUUGAAGCCGGACCUUUCAUCCGUCUACUCCCUGUGCUGGGGUUCAAAACCCGCGGGUGCUUUCUGACCCUUUU